RNAcentral lists this ribosomal RNA (439 nucleotides) under uncultured bacterium. RNAcentral describes it as "partial 16S ribosomal RNA". It matches the Rfam family "Bacterial small subunit ribosomal RNA", at positions 339 to 795 of the family's 1533-position model. The record is from RNAcentral.
CUACGGGGCGCUGCAGUGAGGAAUAUUGCACAAUGGGGGGAACCCUGAUGCAGCAACGCCGCGUGGAGGAUGACGCAUUUCGGUGUGUAAACUCCUUUUAUAUGUCAAGAAAAUGACGGUAGCAUAUGAAUAAGCACCGGCUAACUCCGUGCCAGCAGCCGCGGUAAUACGGAGGGUGCAAGCGUUACUCGGAAUCACUGGGCGUAAAGGACGCGUAGGCGGGUUGGAAGUCAGGUGUGAAAUCCUACAGCUUAACUGGUAGAACUGCACUUGAAACUUCUAAUCUAGAGUAUGGGAGGGGGAGAUGGAAUUAGUGGUGUAGGGGUAAAAUCCGUAGAUAUCACUAGGAAUACCUAAAGCGAAGGCGAUCUCCUGGAACAUUACUGACGCUAAGGCGUGAAAGCGUGGGGAGCAAACAGGAUUAGAUACCCUUGUAGUC